AGUCGAGGGGCAGCAUUUUAGUUUGCUUGCAAACUAAAGAUGGCGACCGGCGCACGGGUGAGUAACACGCUAUCCAACCUGCCGAUAACUCGGGGAUAGCCUUUCGAAAGAAAGAUUAAUAUCCGAUAGUAUAUUAAAACCGCAUGGUUUUACUAUUAAAGAAUUUCGGUUAUCGAUGGGGAUGCGUUCCAUUAGUUUGUUGGCGGGGUAACGGCCCACCAAGACUACGAUGGAUAGGGGUUCUGAGAGGAAGGUCCCCCACAUUGGAACUGAGACACGGUCCAAACUCNUACGGGAGGCAGCAGUGAGGAAUAUUGGUCAAUGGACGAGAGUCUGAACCAGCCAAGUAGCGUGAAGGAUGACUCCCCUAUGGGUUGUAAACUUCUUUUAUAUGGGAAUAAAGUAUUCCACGUGUGGGANUUUUGUAUGUACCAUAUGAAUAAGGAUCGGCUAACUCCGUGCCAGCAGCCGCGGUAAUACGGAGGAUCCGAGCGUUAUCCGGAUUUAUUGGGUUUAAAGGGAGCGUAGGUGGAUUGUUAAGUCAGUUGUGAAAGUUUGCGGCUCAACCGUAAAAUUGCAGUUGAAACUGGCAGUCUUGAGUACAGUAGAGGUGGGCGGAAUUCGUGGUGUAGCGGUGAAAUGCUUAGAUAUCACGAAGAACUCCGAUUGCGAAGGCAGCUCACUAGACUGCAACUGACACUGAUGCUCGAAAGUGUGGGUAUCAAACAGGAUUAGAUACCCUGGUAGUCCACACAGUAAACGAUGAAUACUCGCUGUUUGCGAUAUACAGUAAGCGGCCAAGCGAAAGCAUUAAGUAUUCCACCUGGGGAGUACGCCGGCAACGGUGAAACUCAAAGGAAUUGACGGGGGGCCCCGCACAAGCGGAGGAACAUGUGGUUUNAAUUCGAUGAUACGCGAGGAACCUUACCCGGGCUUAAAUUGCAUUUGAAUAAUCUGGAAACAGGUUAGCCGCAAGGCAAAUGUGAAGGUGCUGCAUGGUUGUCGUCACCUCGUGCCGUGAGGUGUCGGCUUAAGUGCCAUAACGAGCGCAACCCUUAUCUUUAGUUACUAACAGGUNAUGCUGAGGACUCUAGAGAGACUGCCGUCGUAAGAUGUGAGGAAGGUGGGGAUGACGUCAAAUCAGCACGGCCCUUACGUCCGGGGCUACACACGUGUUACAAUGGGGGGUACAGAAGGCAGCUACCUGGCGACAGGAUGCUAAUCCCAAAAACCUCUCUCAGUUCGGAUCGAAGUCUGCAACCCGACUUCGUGAAGCUGGAUUCGCUAGUAAUCGCGCAUCAGCCAUGGCGCGGUGAAUACGUUCCCGGGCCUUGUACACACCGCCCGUCAAGCCAUGAAAGCCGGGGGUACCUGAAGUACGAACCGCAAGAG
Molecule: ribosomal RNA, 1392 nt
Filed under: bacterium NLAE-zl-C253
Lineage: Bacteria
Description: 16S ribosomal RNA
Rfam family: Bacterial small subunit ribosomal RNA
Source: RNAcentral